Long non-coding RNA from Drosophila obscura, 1278 nucleotides. RefSeq lists it as uncharacterized. The record is from RefSeq and is a predicted model, not a curated record. The transcript is spliced from 3 exons. NCBI's taxonomy places the organism in Eukaryota, Metazoa, Arthropoda, Insecta, Diptera, Drosophilidae.
AAGCGUACGCGUCCAUGUUGGUUUUAUUUAUCCAGAUUAAAGAUGUUUCUAAACGUUUCUUUAAACGUCGUAUAAGUUAACGUAAUUUUAUUUUUUCACAUCAUGGCUUUACCGUCGGCACUUUCGUAUUAAAUUAUAGCGGCGUUUGGAAACAUAUUCAUUUUAACAAGACACUGACACAAAUAGCACAAAAGGUUAAUAUAUUUCCGCUUUUGUAAGUAAAUAUUUUUCCAGGAACCACUCGUAUAUAAUUCCCAGGACACAAAUAGUGGUUGCAAUGCUUGUUUAACAAUUUUUAAAUAUAUUCACUUGUUUCCCCAACAGUGAUCACACGCGGCCAACAAAAAUAAAUUAAGUGUGACAAAGUCAAUAACGAGUGUGUGCUGCGUCUUAUUGCGGUGUUUCUUGCGAGUGGACUGAGUGGCAGCAACUCUAUCUCUUGCAAUGCUUCGCUUGCUUAGAUGGAGCACCAGCACCGCACGUCGUCUCCUCUCACAGAUACUGCUGCAGAUGCUUACACAGAUACAUUUUAAAAUACAACACAAGCGCACAGAUACAUGUGCAAGUGCGUCACAGAUUCAAGUGUAUAGCUACAGAUCACGAACAGUCAGCGAAGGCGGGCAGAUCGAAGAUGGCCAUACAAUAUACACAAAACAGAAUACACAUUCACACAUACUAAUUUAAGAUACUUUUUGCCCUUAGAGCUGACGAUUUGGCUACUUUUCCGCUACAACCGAAUAAGGCUCAGCUCUCUCUCCCGAUCUGGUCCAAUGGCAGACGUAAAAACGAUCGGCACGCCGCUCCCACAUUGCGACUCUCUGGAUUUCCCAUCUCGCUGUCCUACAGUCGUCUCUCUCCCUAUCUAUCCCUUCACAAUAUUAUGCUCUCUUUGAUUUUUUCUUGGUGUGUGGUGGCAUGUAUAUGGAUAAGUUUUCAUGUGUACAUAUACAUACAUACCAUAUAUAAACACACAUGCAUACUGCAUACAUACUCUUAAAAAUUCGAAAUGAGUAGCGCCAAGGGUAUAGUAUACCUUUGCUCAAUUAAUACAAAAAAAUAAUAAUGAAGAAAUUACUUCGUUGCAUCCGGGCUUAUGAUGCCAACGAACAUGAUGAGGUAAAUGUGUAUAUUACCAUCUAUACUUAAAAUAAAAUAAAAGUCAGGCAUACAUACUCUUCUCAUCUGAAUGGAAAAUGCGCAGCAUAAAUGUAUAAUUCCUUUUAGACUAUCUAUUCAUUUAAAUUUGAGUGCAUAUUAUAAUAAAAAUUUCUUAACAUA